Oncorhynchus nerka (sockeye salmon) is the source of this 2216-nucleotide RNA transcript. It is a transcript of the gene named NIPA magnesium transporter 2, with no coding region annotated. The transcript has 7 exons. Lineage: Eukaryota; Metazoa; Chordata; Actinopteri; Salmoniformes; Salmonidae. The record is from RefSeq and is a predicted model, not a curated record.
CACCUAGCAUACGGAUUGUCAAUGUGCCAUUUCUAUAAUGGAACCAACUAUUUUGGAUCAGGGUUGUUCACUCUGUGAUUUAACUUGUCGAAAUGGUAGAGUGGUGACACAGGUUGGUGACGGGUGUUCGGCUGGUCAGCAACUCCUGUGUGUUGUGGUCAAUGUAACAAACAGUACGAACAACACAUCCAGCGUCACCAUGGGCCAGGACAGAGGGAAGUAUGAUUUCUACAUCGGCCUGGGACUAGCCAUCAGCUCCAGCAUCUUCAUAGGAGGAAGCUUCAUUCUCAAGAAGAAAGGACUACUCCGCCUGGCCAGGAAGGGACAGUGUAGGGCAGGACAAGGCGGACACGCAUAUCUUAAAGAAUGUCUCUGGUGGGCUGGCUUAUUAUCAAUGGCGGCUGGUGAAGGGGCGAACUUUGCGGCGUAUGCCUUCGCUCCUGCUACUCUCGUCACCCCUCUGGGGGCCCUCAGUGUGCUGGUCAGUGCGGUGCUGUCCUCGUACUUCCUGACCGAGCGUCUGAACCUGCACGGGAAGCUGGGCUGUCUGCUCAGUAUCUUGGGCUCUACUACCAUGGUGAUCCACGCCCCUCAGGAGGAAGAGAUCAACAGUCUGGACCACAUGGCUCGGAAACUGGUGGACCCAGGUUUCCUGGUGUUUGCCACCUUCGUCAUCAUCGUAGCGCUCAUCUUCAUCUUGGUGGUGGGCCCUCGGCACGGCCAGACCAACAUCAUGGUGUAUAUUACCAUCUGCUCUGUGAUAGGAGCUCUGUCGGUGUCGUGUGUGAAGGGGUUGGGCAUCGCCAUCAAAGAGGCCAUAGCUGGGAGGUCCGUGGUGGGGAACCCUUUAUCCUGGGUGUUACUGCUCGGGCUGGUGGCCUGCGUCUCCACUCAGAUCAACUACCUGAACAAGGCUCUGGAUAUCUUCAACACCUCCCUGGUCACACCCAUCUACUACGUGUUCUUCACCACCUCAGUCCUCUCCUGCUCUGCCAUCCUCUUCAAGGAGUGGGAGCACAUGGCUACUGCUGAUGUUAUCGGGACUCUGAGUGGGUUCCUGACCAUUAUAGUUGGUAUCUUUCUGCUCCAUGCCUUUAAGGACCUUAGUGUGAGCCUGUCCACGCUGGCGGUGUCCAUCAGGAAGGACGAGAGGCUCGGGCCGGCAGCUAACGGAGUGGCAACACACGGCAGCUACGAACUGCUGCGUAAUGACUCCACAGACAUGAACCUGGAGGAGAGGGAGGUGGGCCUGCCGUUUGACAGUCUGUCCCGGAGGAAUGGUACCAUGACAGCCUCUUAGAGGACCUAGCAGCAGACUCUUCCCCCCCCCCCCCAUCCCACUGACAGCCUCUUAGAGGACCUAGCUGCCAGGUCCUGCAGACCCCCCACCCUACUGACGGCCUCUUAGAGGACCUAGCUGCCAGGUCCUGCAGACCCCCAUCCUACUGACGGCCUCUUAGAGGACCUAGCUGCCAGGUCCUGCAGACCCCCCACCCUACUGACGGCCUCUUAGAGGACCUAGCUGCCAGGUCCUGCAGACCCCCCCAUCCUACUGACGGCCUCUUAGAGGACCUAGCUGCCAGGUCCUGCACCCCCCCACCCUGCCUCUUAGGACCUAGCUGCCAGGUCCUGCAGACCCCCCCGACUGACUAGGAUUACGUCCCAAAUGGCACCCUUUUCCCUUUAUAGUGCACUACUCUGGUCAAAACUAGUGCACUAUAGAGGAUAGGGUGCUAUUUGGGGUUUGCCUAGGACUACACUGGUGUGGAUGGUUGUGUCCUACAUUAAAACAAUCAACUCUUGAUUUAGAUGGACCCACUGAUUGUACUUGGAUUAGAUUUGCCUUCUGUUCUCUGGAGACAGGGGUUCAUCUCAUCCUCAGAAGCAGGCAAUAUUCAUACUAUGUUAUACAGUCUGUAUUUCCUUCUACAAAUCAACAGCUUUGUUUUUGUAAUAUUCUUGGAGAUCCCAGGUCUGAUUUUUUUUAAAUUUUGGGUCCAGUUCUGAGUUUGGCAGGUCAAUAAGGAUAUGUGGCACCCUAUUCCCUACACAGUGCACUACCCCUAUGGAUCUGGUCAGAAGUAGUGCACUAUAUAGGGAAUAGGGGGUCAUUUGGAACGUAAACUGAUACGUGUUCUUAAUUGUGAUACCUGAAGAGUUAAAUCACCAACUGUUUUUUUUGUGUAUCUUUUACAUAAAUGCACUCAAGAACAAGA